AUCACCAGAAUCAACGGGGACGAUCACUAUUAUCAAUUUUUGGUGAAAACAAUAACCUAAGACAGAACAUGGGAAAUUUCAUAAGCAUGGCACCAUGCCAUCUCUGGUAGAGGAGGACUAACGCAGCAUUCGACAUGUUAGAAGAAUUUGUUAUGUUGUAGAAUCAUUGUUUAUAAAAAAUUAUGUGAUGUGAACUUGCCAAAUGCUAAUAUUUUUAGGAAUAUUUAUGUGUGAUAAUCAGUAAGAUGAAACAGUAACUGCCAUAGAUUUUGUAUAUAUCUGUUAUAGGAAAAGGCCAGAGUUCAUAUUGAGUUUCGAUUAAAAAAAAUUAUGAAACUGGAGAGUUAUCAUACCAAAUUGUGAACAAUCGAAAUGGUUUACAAUCAUAACAUUUAAAGCACAGAAAAUAAAGAGUAAGAGCUUUUUUAAAAGCCUGCUUCCCAAGAAAAAAAUUGAAA
This 458-nucleotide long non-coding RNA is filed under the name Mytilus galloprovincialis (Mediterranean mussel). The record is from RNAcentral. Lineage: Eukaryota; Metazoa; Mollusca; Bivalvia; Mytilida; Mytilidae.